UUACUCCUCCCCAAACACAGCCAAUAGUUGAUGCACCUUCAGCAUAUGAAGAUGUUGCUAUUCAAGCCUCUCUGCAAUCUGAUGCUUCAGGUCUCAGCUUACCAGAGAUUCAAAAUGCUAGGGGACUAGCAGAUGUGUUAAUGGAAAUGCUUAGUGCCUUGGAUCCUAAGAACCCUGAGGGGCUGAAAGAAGAGGUGAUUGUUGACCUUGUUGACCAGUGCCGAUCUUACCAAAAGCGUGUCAUGCUUCUUGUGAAUAGUACAUCAGAUGAGGAGCUUCUAUUUCAGGGAUUGGCAUUGAAUGAUAACUUACAGCGAGUACUUCGUCGGCAUGAUGAAAUUGCGAAAGGUACCUAUCCUGCAGCAGAAACGGAAGCUGACACACCAGUUGUGCCACUUAUUAUUAACCAUGAUGAAGAUGAGACAGAA
RNAcentral lists this unclassified non-coding RNA (428 nucleotides) under Hevea brasiliensis (rubber tree). Lineage: Eukaryota; Viridiplantae; Streptophyta; Magnoliopsida; Malpighiales; Euphorbiaceae. The record is from RNAcentral.